This 731-nucleotide ribosomal RNA is filed under the name uncultured archaeon. RNAcentral's name for it is "bacterial SSU rRNA". It matches the Rfam family "Archaeal small subunit ribosomal RNA", at positions 107 to 839 of the family's 1478-position model. The record is from RNAcentral.
AACUUCCCUCAGCACGGGGAUAAACCCGGGAAACUGGGUAUAAUACCCGAUAGUUCUGGGAUGCUGGAAUGCUUCCAGGACGAAAGCUCCGGCGACUGAGGAUGGGUCUGCGGCCUAUCAGGUAGUAGUGGGUGUAAUGUACCUACUAGCCUACGACGGGUACGGGUCGUGAGAGCGAGAGCCCGGAGAUGGAUUCUGAGACACGAAUCCAGGCCCUACGGGGUGCAGCAGGCGCGAAAACUUUACAAUGCUGGCAACAGCGAUAAGGGGACCUCGAGUGCCAGGAUACAAUCUUGGCUGUCGUAAUGCCUAAAAAGCAUUGCAUAGCAAGGGCCGGGCAAGACCGGUGCCAGCCGCCGCGGUAACACCGGCGGCUCGAGUGGUAACCGCUAUUAUUGGGUCUAAAGGGUCUGUAGCCGGCCGGAUAAGUCUUUUGGGAAAUCCAGCUGCUCAACAGUUGGGCUUUCAGAAGAUACUGUUCGGCUCGAGGCCGGGAGAGGUGAGAGGUACUUCAGGGGUAGGGGUGAAAUCUUGUAAUCCUUGAAGGACCACCAGUGGCGAAGGCGUCUCACCAGAACGGUCCUGACGGCAAGGGACGAAAGCUAGGGGCACGAACCGGAUUAGAUACCCGGGUAGUCCUAGCCGUAAACGAUACUCGCUAGGUGUCAGCCACGGUGCGACCGUGGUUGGUGCCGUAGGGAAGCCGUGAAGCGAGCCACCUGGGAAGUACG